GCCUGGCCCGCGACGCACCGAGGCCUGAGGACCCGAAAGCCGGGCGCGGGGAGAUGACCGGUGGCUCGUGACGGUCCCACGGGCAAAAUCUUCCAUCGCCCGGGGCUGAGACUUGUCAAACUGCCCUCUACGGUCACCCGGAAAGUAGGAGGCUUUUUCUGCAGAGGGGAAAAAAAUCAAAAAGAGCCGUUCCAUCCCCCCUCCAAGGACUGGGUUUGAAUUGCUUUUCAUCUGCAGUGGCUGUGAUUCAGCGUCCCUCUUAGCAGCAGGCAAUGACAGAGGCAGGAGAGGGGAAAAAAAAAAAGAAAGAAAGAAAAAACACAGCAAAUGAAUCAAACGGACGUAGCAGGCAAGAGUGUGGUUAUCGUUGGACCAGGAUUCAGGAUCUGACUGAGUAGCUGACUCUUAAUCCAGUUUGUGUUGAUCACCAGGAGGAUCUGGACCUCAGUAUUACCACAUCUAGAGCUAUAAUCACAUCCCUGUUAAGCCUUCCUGAGAUCACACCAAAUGUCCUUGAUGGGAAUUGUAAACAACCCUUACUUCUGGUUUCUAAUGAUAUUCCAGGAAAGGAGCCUAACUAGAGUCAGUGAUAUGCCAACUCCACCUUUGCCUUCCACCAUGUUUGGAAGCUCCCUGAGGCCUCACCAGGAGCAGAUGCUCGUCCCAUGCUUCCUAUAAGCCUGCAGAACUGUGAGCCAUAAUAAACUGUGAAUUAUAAAUUGCCUUUAUAGCAAUGCAAAUGGACCAGUACAGAUGGGAUGCUGGGAAGACAGUUGUUUCCACCUUCAGUAAAGUCCGUGGAACACAGUUGUGACUAUAUUCUAGGCCAGCCAAGAUGCUUGUACUCAGAAAGGAGUGGUCUCAGGACCAUAAGAAAGUGAAAAAAUAAAAAUAAGAAAAUAAAGAAGGGAUUGUCAAUGAAUCAGAAUUCAUCAAGGUCAAAGUCUUAGGAAAUUCCUUCAUGAGGAAGUCUAGGGGGGCUAUGGAAAUGAAAUUUUUAAACAAAUAGGUAUGUGGUGCUGGCAGGAAUAAAUUAUGGACUUAUGAAUAUAACAUAAGAUUCUUUAUUACCUGGUCUCACCCGUCUUUCCACCUCUGCCCCCCUUCUUGCCCGACUCUGUGUAUCACCCAUAAUAAACUACUUACAGCUUCCUAGUGUUAAAUUUACCCUAAAGCUGCCUCCUUCAAUAUUUUAAGUUUAACCUAAAGGUUCUUCAUACAUAGUGAACUAUAACCCAAUGAUUAAACAGAUUGUAACCUACUCUUGUACCAGUCACCAAGUUUCAGCCAAUCAGAGGUGGCCAACUGUUCAAACCAUGCUCAAAUAAGGGAAAUGUCAUGGUGUAACUAAUCCAGCUGUUUCUAUACCUUACUUCUGUUUUCUUAGGUCACUUUCCUUUUUUGUCCAUAAAUUCUCUCCAACCACUCAGCAGCACUGGAGUCACUCCAAAGCUAUCCUGGUUCAGGGGUCUGUCUGAUUCACAAGUCAUUCUUUGUUCAAUUGAGCUCUGCUAAAUUUAAUUUGUCUGAAGUUUUUCUUUUAACAGAUGGUGUCAGAAAUGGACCCCAAAGUAGAGCUCCCAGUGAUCCCCCAGGAGCACUGAGUGACCACAAGGGGUACCUGCUGGGCCCGUCCUCUCGCAGUGUCCACUGCUCUCUUACAGCAACUGGAGAUUGUGGCUGCAUUCUCUCUCAGAUUCUGAAGCUCCAUACAUUGCCGUUUUCAGCUGUUCAAGCUUGCUUGAGCAAAUUUUUGAUCUUAGCUGAGUUUGGAAGUCGAUAGACAUUGGACUGGGUCCAGGAUUUGAUUGGAUCUGAUAAUUAACUGGCUUGGAUCCAGUUAGAUGCCUCGGUUAUCUGACUGGGUCAGAUAGAAACCGCCAGUAAAUAUUUUAAUAACAAUACUGCAGGGGUAUGAACUCUGGCUUUAAGAAACUCACAAGGAAUUUUAUGUUCUAUACCCUUUGUUUCUUUUUCUUGUGUGCUUCGGUCAGGAAAAAUCAUUAGUCAAGUUAAUCAAGGGGAUCUGAGAGCCAAAUACAAGAUUCAACGUAAAAAUGGAAUCCUUGGGCUAGGCGUGGUGGCUCAGGCCUGUAAUCCCAGGACUUUGGGAGGCUGAGGCAGGCGGAUCACCUGACCUUAGGAGUUCGAGACCAGUCUGGCCAACAUGGUGAAACCCCGUCUCCACUAAAAAUACAAAAAUUAGCCAGGCGUGGUGGUGGGCACCUGUAAUCCCAGCUACUUUGGAGGCUGAGGCAGGAUAAUCACUUGAACCCAGGAGGCAGAGGUUGCAGUGAUCUGAGAUUGCACCACUGCACUCCAGCCUGGGCAAAAGAGCGAGACUCCAUCUCAUAAAUAAAUACAUAAAUAAAUAAAGAAAUCCUUAAUUUCUGCGGAACUGAGUGCUCUACCUUCUGGCUACACCUACGUAUACCUGUAUGAGGUAUAGGCCCUGGAAGCAGCAAACACUUACAGAAAUGGUGAAAUCUUACUAAAGGGAAAAGAAAGCUGGAUAAAGUAUUUAUAGAAGAUAGAGGACCUGUGGUGGCUCAUGCCUGUAAUCCAAGGUGGAAGGAUUGCUUGAGGCCAGAAGUUCAAGACCAGUCCAAGCAACAUAGCAAGGCCCCAUCUCUACAAAAAAUGAAAAUAAAAUUAGCCGAGCGUGAUGGCUCAUGCCUGUAGUUCUAGCUUCUAGAGAGGCUGAGGCAGGAGGAUUGCUUGAGUCCAGGAGUUCAAGAUUACAGUGAGCUAUGGUCACACCACUGCACUCCAGCCUGGGUGAUGGAGUGAGACUGUCUCAAUAAAAAGACAAAAAGGCUGGCCAGGGGCAGUGGUUCAUGCCUGUAAACCCAGCACUUUGGGAGGCAAAGGCAGGAGGAUUGCUUAAGCCCAGGAAUUUGAGAUCAGCCUGGACAACAUGGUGAGACCCCCAUCUCUACAAAAAUUUUUUUUAAAAGUUACCCAGGCAUGGUGUUGCACAUCUGUGUUCCCAGCUACUGGGGAGGCUGAGACGGGAGGAUCACUUGAGUCCAGGAAGUUGAGAGGUUGAGGCUGCUGUGAGCUGUGAUUGUGCCACUGCACUUUAGCCUGGACAACAGAGGGAGACCCUGUCAACAACAACAACAACAACAAAAAAGCAAAACAUCAUAGGCUGCAGAAAUAAACUUUCUUGUCAAUUGUGUCUUUAACCAUGACCAUUUUGAGUCAUUUCCACAGUGAGUUGCCUAAUUUUGAUGCAUUUCUGAAAACUCUUUAUAAGCAAGUAAAAUCCUAGAGAAUUGUGCCUUCAAGGAGACUCAUGGAAAGGAUGGAAAGAACUCUUGAAUACAUGUUUCUGAUAGCUUUAUGAUCAUAUCAUUUGGACUGGGUAAGAAUUCCCAGAACUCAUGAAGAGACUGACUAUUUAUUAAUCCAAGCAGGAAAAGAAUUAAUUGAAUACCAAGGAAAUACUGUGCCAGAGAUUUUCAUGCUAAAUCAGUCAGCACCGAAAUCGUUAAGAUGUGUAGUUUGAAUGAACUCCAUGAUCCUAGUCAAAUUUCCUAUGAUGACCCAUUUAAUAAACAGUGCUAUGCACCUGAAUUGGAGAAACAGAAUUGAUACUUAAAUCCAAUGUUAAUCAUAGAUUCAUGGAAAGCCUAAAUGGCUGCUUGGGUCUUCCUGAGCCCUUAAAGCUUCCAUUAUUAAAGGCUCUGCACUUUAUAAGUUAUCACUGAAGAGAGAAAAUGAUCCAGAUUUAAAAUACACAUAUUGGUGUGGUGAAUGUUCUAAAUUGCGAAAAUGGUUUAUGACCAACAUUUGGUUUGUCAUGCUCACAAUCCUGGAAAUACAUUCAAAACUUCAGGUACAUUUCUGCUACCUGAUGGGCUAUUUGAAUAUAUAGAGAGGGAUUUCAUUCAAUUGCCAUUUUCAUUGCAUGUUUUUUGGUUGUAUAGAAGCUUUCCCAUGCAAGGAGGCUGAUGCUGUUAUUACAGUAGCUAAAAGGUUAGUAGGAAAUGUGUUUUCCCCCAUGGGGCAUUCCUGGAGAAAUCUCUAGCAAUAAAGGUACUUGUUUGACUGGACAAGUUGUAAAACAGUUUAAUAAGGUUUUUUUUAGGUGUCAUAGCAUUAGGCAAAGCUAACUGAAUUGACUGGAUUGUCAUAGUCAAACAUAUUGCAGAUCCGCUUCCAAUAGAAGACAAUGAAAUAGUCACUGGAAAGCCUGUGCUCCUAAUUUUAGAACCUCAUGUAUCUUCUGCUCCUAAACUCUGAUAGGACUAAAUGCUGUGAGGCCUCAAUGCAUUAUGUUAAUGUGUAUUUUCACCAGGUCAAGGAAGCUUUUCCUGAUCCACUAACUAAGGACAAUCAAACCCUUCAUGAUCUAGAAUCUGGAGACUGUGUCUUCUGGGAAUAGUAUCAGAGAAAGACUGCCCUUACUGCCCACAUGUAGCAAAACUUUGAGACGUUGAAUUAUGGGUCCAUAAUCUCACAACUCAGAGGGGCACCUCUAGACUCUUGGAACUGUAUAUCUAUUGGAGACUUUAAGGUAAAGCUGAACAGAGAGACGUUUUUCUCCAGAAGCAGACAGCACCAUAGUCAUGGACAGCUUUCCCAAGAUCACAGAUCAAGACUUCUCUGCCGUCAUGAGACUCAUAACCUCUUAAUUUUUUCUUGCUUAUGCUUCUGUGAACAAUAGAAUUGGAAAAGGGGUGGUCCCGCGUGCACCCAUAGGGUAUACUUUUAUUUGUGGAGGAUUUUGCUGCCAACCUUAUACAUGGGCAAACUUAUGCCUUCAUGGAUGGAAGAUAAAGGGCUAAUAUGGGUUAGAAAUUUUAAUGGUACCUUUGUUUCUCCAUAAUCAUUCAGAAACAGAACACUGGUCCACUCUUGUUAACCUACAUCAUAGGUUGAAGAGAACAUUGCCAGGAGGCCUUCAUCCUUCCAGAUGGGCACCAUUUGUUGGGUCUUUUUCCGUGGUAUGAAGAAAAUGAAGCAAUGAUUAGAAAUUGGUCCCUCGGCCGGGCACAAUGGCUCAUGCCUGUAAUCCCAUCACUUUGGCAGGCCGAGGCGGGUGGAUCACCUGAGGUCAGGAGUUUGAGACCAGCCUGACCAAUGUGGUGAAACGCCAUCUCUACUAAAAAUACAAAAAUUAGCUGGGUGUGAUGGUGCACACCUGUAAUCCAGCUACUCGGGAGGCUGAGACAGGAGAAUUGCUUGAACCUGGGAGGCAGAGGUUGCAGUGAGCCAAGAUCACCCCACUGCAUUCCAGGUUGGGCAACAGAGCAAGACUCUGUCUCAAAAAAAAAAGAAGAAAGAAAGAAAUUGAUCCCUCAUAAUAGGCUGUAUAGCAGAUUCUACUGCAAAGGCUAUGGUUGCACAACAGACUUCUUUGAAUUUGCUUGCUAAACUUUUACUGGAUAAUACUGGGAUUACAGGUGUGAGCCACUGUGCCCAGCCUCUCCUGUUUAACUGUAUUCAUUCUAAUGUUUACUUACUUCUUUAAUUUGUAAAAUUGGGUCACUUAGAGUUUUUUUAGCCUAUCUUGCCAUUUAGCCACUGUUACUGAUAAUUUGGAUGGAAAAGAAAAAUAAAUUAUAUCACCUCUCAUCUUCAGUGUAUAUAUGUGUUAACUUAGUAAAUAUAGUAUUCUUUCUCGUUCCUAAUGAAAAUUUAGUUUACGUACUGAAACACUGCAAACUUUUAUAAAUAUUGUGAUGUAUUUGACCAAUACAAAGGAUCUUUUUAGAAACAGCAAACAGUUCUCAGAUUAUAGGAAUUACUCAUUUAAUGAUAGUUUCUUCUU
This 5779-nucleotide long non-coding RNA is filed under the name Homo sapiens (human). Its description in RNAcentral is "non-protein coding RASSF8-AS1:42". Lineage: Eukaryota; Metazoa; Chordata; Mammalia; Primates; Hominidae. The record is from RNAcentral.